This 594-nucleotide ribosomal RNA is filed under the name uncultured Burkholderia sp. RNAcentral's name for it is "bacterial SSU rRNA". It matches the Rfam family "Bacterial small subunit ribosomal RNA", at positions 418 to 1003 of the family's 1533-position model. Lineage: Bacteria; Pseudomonadati; Pseudomonadota; Betaproteobacteria; Burkholderiales; Burkholderiaceae. The record is from RNAcentral.
UCGGGUUGUAAAGCACUUUUGUCCGGAAAGAAAACUUCUGCCCUAAUACGGUGGGAGGAUGACGGUACCGGAAGAAUAAGCACCGGCUAACUACGUGCCAGCAGCCGCGGUAAUACGUAGGGUGCGAGCGUUAAUCGGAAUUACUGGGCGUAAAGCGUGCGCAGGCGGUUCGCUAAGACAGAUGUGAAAUCCCCCGGGCUUUAACUGGGAACUGCAUUUGUGACUGGCGGGCUAGAGUAUGGCAGAGGGGGGGUAGAAUUCCACGUGUAGCAGUGAAAUGCGUAGAGAUGUGGAGGAAUACCGAUGGCGAAGGCAGCCCCCUGGGCCAAUACUGACGCUCAUGCACGAAAGCGUGGGGAGCAAACAGGAUUAGAUACCCUGGUAGUCCACGCCCUAAACGAUGUCAACUAGUUGUUGGGGAUUCAUUUCCUUAGUAACGUAGCUAACGCGUGAAGUUGACCGCCUGGGGAGUACGGUCGCAAGAUUAAAACUCAAAGGAAUUGACGGGGACCCGCACAAGCGGUGGAUGAUGUGGAUUAAUUCGAUGCAACGCGAAAAACCUUACCUACCCUUGACAUGUAUGGAACCUGGCUG